GUGGCAACACUGGUGAAGAUCUAGUGGCGAACGGGUGCGUAACACGUGAGGAACCUACCCCGAUCUCAGGAAUAACAGUGGGAAACCACUGCUAAUACCGGAUACCUUCCCCGGGUCGCAUGGCUCGGCGAAGAAAGGUUUACCGGAUCGGGACGGCCUCGCGGCCUAUCAGCUUGUUGGCGGGGUAAUGGCCCACCAAGGCGUCGACGGGUAGCUGGUCUGAGAGGAUGAUCAGCCACACUGGGACUGAGACACGGCCCAGACUCCUACGGGAGGCAGCAGUGGGGAAUCUUGCGCAAUGGGCGAAAGCCUGACGCAGCAACGCCGCGUGGGGGAUGAAGGCCCUCGGGUUGUAGACCCCUUUCAGCAGGAACGAAUCUGACGGUACCUGCAGAAGAAGGCCCGGCCAACUACGUGCCAGCAGCCGCGGUAAUACGUAGGGGCCAAGCGUUGUCCGGAUUUAUUGGGCGUAAAGAGCUCGUAGGCGGUUGGGUAAGUCGGGUGUGAAAACUCCAGGCUCAACUUGGAGACGCCACCCGAUACUGCUCUGACUUGAGUUCGGUAGGGGAGUGGGGAAUUCCUGGUGU
RNAcentral lists this ribosomal RNA (587 nucleotides) under uncultured soil bacterium. Its description in RNAcentral is "bacterial SSU rRNA". It matches the Rfam family "Bacterial small subunit ribosomal RNA", at positions 76 to 676 of the family's 1533-position model. The record is from RNAcentral.